Molecule: ribosomal RNA, 89 nt
Filed under: Mycolicibacterium frederiksbergense
Lineage: Bacteria; Bacillati; Actinomycetota; Actinomycetes; Mycobacteriales; Mycobacteriaceae
Description: partial 16S ribosomal RNA
Rfam family: Bacterial small subunit ribosomal RNA
Source: RNAcentral
UUGUUUGGAGAGUUUGAUUCUGGCUCAGGACGAACGCUGGCGGCGUGCUUAACACAUGCAAGUCGAACGGAAAGGCCCUUCGGGGUACU